Molecule: transfer RNA, 61 nt
Filed under: Diaphorina citri (Asian citrus psyllid)
Lineage: Eukaryota; Metazoa; Arthropoda; Insecta; Hemiptera; Psyllidae
Source: Rfam by way of RNAcentral
GAGCCUGUUGCUGCGCUCGCCUUGCACGCGGGAGACCCGGGUUCGAUUUCCGGCGGGGUCA